Triticum dicoccoides is the source of this 521-nucleotide long non-coding RNA. RefSeq lists it as uncharacterized. The transcript is spliced from 2 exons. The record is from RefSeq and is a predicted model, not a curated record. Lineage: Eukaryota; Viridiplantae; Streptophyta; Magnoliopsida; Poales; Poaceae.
CGCUGCGGGCGUCCCCAUCGCGAAAGAAAAAUCUCCUUUCCCUUCUCCACGGCUGCACCUUCAUCCUCUCCCUCCCCUGCCGCCUCGAUCCCCCUGUCCCGCACUCCCUCUCGCCGGCCGGAGGCGGCUCUGGCCGGCGGGGCGAAGCCACCGGAAUCAUGGCCAAGUCCGGUGCCUGUAAGAAGGCGGCACCAGCCCGGUCAACGGCAACCUCGCCGCCGCCGCAGCUCGUCCCGGCAGGCUCGUGACGCCAGCCGCUCGCCACAGCCGCUCUUCUACGCCGGCGCUCCGACUAGCUCGUCCACCAGUCCGUCGACACCGCCGCACCUGUACCCCUCUCUCAUAGAUUCCUCUACUGCAAACCCUACAUGGAGGCCAAUGUACACCCCUGCAUCUGAAGGCUUGCUAAGUUUUGGACAAUUCUCUCCAAUGCAUCCUUAUAAUUUUCGACCUCAUAUAGAUCAUAAAGUUAAAGUACUACUAUAGAUCCCACAAAACAAUAAAUGGCAACCUUCAUGUUA